GCAACUCGACUCCAUGAAGCUGGAUUCGCUAGUAAUCGCGCAUCAGCCAUGGCGCGGUGAAUACGUUCCCGGGCCUUGUACACACCGCCCGUCAAGCCAUGGGAGUCGGGAGUGCCUGAAGUUCGUGACCGUCACAGGAGCGACCUAAGGCAAGACCGAUGACUGGGGCUAAGUCGUAACAAGGUACC
This 188-nucleotide ribosomal RNA is filed under the name uncultured bacterium. RNAcentral's name for it is "partial 16S ribosomal RNA". It matches the Rfam family "Bacterial small subunit ribosomal RNA", at positions 1307 to 1500 of the family's 1533-position model. The record is from RNAcentral.